UAAUACGUAGGUGGCAAGCGUUGUCCGGAAUUAUUGGGCGUAAAGCGCGCGCAGGCGGUCCUAUAAGUCUGAUGUGAAAGCCCCCGGCUCAACCGGGGAGGGUCAUUGGAAACUGUAGGACUUGAGUACUGGAGAGAAGAGUGGAAUUCCACGUGUAGCGGUGAAAUGCGUAGAGAUGUGGAGGAACACCAGUGGCGAAGGCGACUCUUUGGCCAGAAACUGACGCUGAGGCGCGAAAGCGUGGGGAGCAAACAGGAUUAGAUACCCUGGUAGUCCACGCCGUAAACGAUGAGUGCUAAGUGUUAGGGGGUUUCCGCCCCUUAGUGCUGCAGCAAACGCAUUAAGCACUCCGCCUGGGGAGUACGGUCGCAAGACUG
Molecule: ribosomal RNA, 377 nt
Filed under: uncultured bacterium
Lineage: Bacteria
Description: bacterial SSU rRNA
Rfam family: Bacterial small subunit ribosomal RNA
Source: RNAcentral